GAGUUUGAUCCUGGCUCAGAUUGAACGCUGGCGGAAUGCUUUACACAUGCAAGUCGAGCGGCAGCGCGGGGCAACCUGGCGGCGAGCGGCGAACGGGUGAGUAAUGCAUCGGAACAUGUCCAUGUCGUGGGGGAUAGCCCGGCGAAAGCCGGAUUAAUACCGCAUACGCCCGAGAGGGGAAAGUGGGGGACCGCAAGGCCUCACGCGAUUGGGUUGGCCGAUGUCCGAUUAGCUAGUUGGCGGGGUAAAAGCCCACCAAGGCGAUGAUCGGUAGCUGGUCUGAGAGGAUGAUCAGCCACACUGGGACUGAGACACGGCCCAGACUCCUACGGGAGGCAGCAGUGGGGAAUUUUGGACAAUGGGGGCAACCCUGAUCCAGCCAUUCCGCGUGAGUGAAGAAGGCCUUCGG
Molecule: ribosomal RNA, 409 nt
Filed under: uncultured beta proteobacterium
Lineage: Bacteria; Pseudomonadati; Pseudomonadota; Betaproteobacteria
Description: bacterial SSU rRNA
Rfam family: Bacterial small subunit ribosomal RNA
Source: RNAcentral